AGAGCGAACGCUGGCGGCAGGCCUAACACAUGCAAGUCGAACGAACUCUUCGGAGUUAGUGGCGGACGGGUGAGUAACACGUGGAACGUGCCUUUAGGUUCGGAAUAACUCAGGGAAACUUGUGCUAAUACCGAAUGUGCCCUUCGGGGGAAAGAUUUAUCGCCUUUAGAGCGGCCCGCGUCUGAUUAGCUUGUUGGUGGGGUAAUGGCCACCAAGGCUACGA
This 223-nucleotide ribosomal RNA is filed under the name uncultured soil bacterium. Its description in RNAcentral is "partial 16S ribosomal RNA". It matches the Rfam family "Bacterial small subunit ribosomal RNA", at positions 26 to 279 of the family's 1533-position model. The record is from RNAcentral.